This 883-nucleotide unclassified non-coding RNA is filed under the name Hevea brasiliensis (rubber tree). The record is from RNAcentral. Lineage: Eukaryota; Viridiplantae; Streptophyta; Magnoliopsida; Malpighiales; Euphorbiaceae.
GUCCAUAAAUGCAAAAUACAUGCUAACAUAUUCUACAUUCUAAUUCAUAAACAAAAAAAAUCUACAUUUUCAAUAAAUUAAUGAAAAACCAUUUCUUAACAUUCUCAGUAAUUUCUGACCGUUAAACAAAUUCUAAAUCUUCAAAAAAAAAGGGAAAAUUGCUCCCAUAUUUAAAAGGAGAAAAAUAAAAUAAAAUAAAAAAACUCACAAUAUGAUUAAAAAUAUUUAGAAAUUGACCCUUUUAACCUCCAAACUUGCUGAUCUUCUCCUUCUCCAUCCCUUGGAGAAAGCUUACAAAGACUCUCAUGGCUUUAAUUUGGCACUGCAAAGCCAAAAUAUAACCAGCGGUCUCUUGAAAUAACAUGUCAACCCCAAGUGACUCACCUCCAGGCACUAUCCUCUGCAAUGCCCAAAUCUUUCUCUCCACUUCUUCUUUCUCAUCAUCAUCAUCUUGACUGCUUCCACUCAUCACCCCAUGAUCCUUUUCUUGAAUCUUCAUUUUUCUUCUAUUCCUUCUUGUUUUGCGGUGAGUCUCCGGUCUCCUUCCUCGUCGGAAACCCACUAAAGAUUCAUGCACUGCGUUUUCACCCUCAGUUUUUUCGUGGGUUGUCCUUUCCUUUUUGUGAAAUGCGGGUAUGGCUGCUAGGUUUAAACUAUUAUCCAUGGAUGCACAGUAGAAGCCUGAAGAACAAAGAAGAAGAAGGGUUAUUGCUAAAUGCUAAGAAUGAGCUGAGGUUGUUGAAUUAUUGUUGUGUUUCAGAAAUGUCAAUGCCAACGAAGCUGAGCCCACCUUUAUUCGGCGUCCUUGUUUUGGAUUGUAGUGUGGAGGUGAAAGGCACUCGUUUUUUAUGCGCGUGGUCGUUUUGAGACAUCUAGUGGCGAC